Molecule: long non-coding RNA, 1065 nt
Filed under: Nicotiana tabacum (common tobacco)
Lineage: Eukaryota; Viridiplantae; Streptophyta; Magnoliopsida; Solanales; Solanaceae
Description: long non-coding RNA (NTAB_LNC012785)
Source: RNAcentral
UAACAUACGAUAAUAAUCACUAUAAUAUGGUUAUAAGAGAAAAAACAAUUUCUCGUAAGAAGUUGCACGAAACACACCAACAUUUUUUCAAGCUGGACAAUAAUAAGUUAAUUACAAAAUACAUGUCUUGUGAGAGGAAAGUUAAAUAAGUACUUAACAAACACUAACAUUAUAACAUUGACCUACUUUCCUUUAUUCUUUGCACAUAUAUUGCAAAAUUAUAAACCACUAUUUUCCCAAGCCUACACCCUAAUCGCCUUCCGAUCUCUCUCUUGCCUGAUACUUUCUGAUUGCUAUCUGAAGAGCAAUAAUAAACAAUGAAUUACGCUAGGGUCACUUCCUGUGAUUUUGGAUUUUUUUUUAAAAAAAAAAGAAACAAACAAAAACUUUAACUUGUUCAAUAUCUAAGGAAUUCUAUUAAACUUGUACCAAUGGAAUAAGGACAACAUAUGUACAAAGGAGUUCACAAUAACUUGUUUUUAUAACUGCUUUCUUUAAAUUUUCCAAAGGAAGAGCUAGUAUAGACAAAUGUUGCUAAUUAAAUGUACUACUUUCUCUGUCCCAAUUUAGGUGAUUGUUUUUUGUUUAUCGAAAUUCAAACUAUUUAAUUUUGGCCGAUUUGGACAUAAAUCUUCAAAUUUUUUGAAAUAAAAUUUGCAUAUUUAGAAAUUAAUUAGAAGUACUACAAAUCACAAUAAUUAAUGAUUAACAUAUUCAAAAGACAUAUGAAAGUCAAAGAACAAUUUGUUUGACUGUUGAAAUAUUCCAACACCAUCACAUAAAUUGGAAGGGACGAAGUAUUAUAGGAAAAAUAAACACAACUAUAUGUUAAUUACCUCAUAGAUUUCAGUGUCUUCUGUUCCUGCGCCGUCUUCGACCUGCCCUCUGUGCUGUAUAUGUCAAUUCAUGAAUGAGAGUUGCAAAAAAGUGUAUGAACCAUCUUGGCCUUUGAAAUCGGUAAAUGAAAUAGCCAAUGAUAAAUCCAAAAAUCAAGCCACAACCAUAUCCAAUUAAGACAGAGCUCCAAGUCAUUUCACUAAGAAAACUCGGCUCAUCAUCUUUUUC